AGGUUAUUGACAAAGUGCCCGCAGCGGCGAAAACAGGUAGAUCAUAAAGACGCCGUAUUCCCUUUGUAAAAAUAAGCGUCCCUGACGGCUCGAGCCGCGCCAUCUCUGGCGCGGACGCUUU
RNAcentral lists this non-coding RNA (121 nucleotides) under Yersinia enterocolitica. RNAcentral describes it as "Yersinia sRNA 224". It matches the Rfam family "Yersinia sRNA 224". The record is from RNAcentral. Lineage: Bacteria; Pseudomonadati; Pseudomonadota; Gammaproteobacteria; Enterobacterales; Yersiniaceae.